CAAGUCGAACGAGAAUCUGGAGGUUCAAGUUUUCGGACAAGAACUUUCGGAGGAAAGUGGGCGGAAGGGUGAGUACAACAUGGAUAAUCUACCUUCAAGUUGGGUAUAGCUUCCCGAAAGGGGAGAUAAUCCCGAAUGUGGUGAUCCGGCGCCUGUCGGAGAAUCCAAAGGUGGGGACCGCAAGGCCUGCCGCUUGAAGAUGAGUCCGUGCACUAUCAGCUAGUUGGUGAGGUAAUGGCUCACCAAGGCGAUGACGGUUAGCUGGUCUGAGAGGAUGGUCAGCCACACUGGGACUGAGAUACUGCCCAGACUCCUACGGGAGGCUGCAGUCGAGAAUCAUUCGCAAUGGGCGCAAGCCUGACGGUGCGACGUCGCGUGGAGGAUGAAGGUCUUCGGAUUGUAAACUCCUGUCAUGUGGGAUAAAUGGCCAGGGCAUGAAUAGUGCCUUGGAAUGAUAGUACCACAGGAGGAAGGGACGGCUAACUCUGUG
RNAcentral lists this ribosomal RNA (490 nucleotides) under uncultured bacterium. RNAcentral describes it as "bacterial SSU rRNA". It matches the Rfam family "Bacterial small subunit ribosomal RNA", at positions 58 to 507 of the family's 1533-position model. The record is from RNAcentral.